UUUUAUACGUACCCCUCAAAGACUAACUAUAUGGGCAUUUUCAUUUUUUCGGUAUGAAAAAGUAAUAAGAAUGAGAGGUGAUUAUUCACAAUUAGUUUUUCUUUUAAUAUAAAUAAAUUGUAUUGUGUGACACUCCUUUCGUCAAAUUGUAUAUCUGUAAAAGUCUGUAGAUGCCAUGUGCUAUAAAUGAAACUACUAAUAAAAUAUACGAAACUUUAUCCUUUUAAAAAUGUACGAUGUCAAGAAAAAAAAAACGUAAAUAUAUAUGCAA
Molecule: long non-coding RNA, 271 nt
Filed under: Brassica rapa (field mustard)
Lineage: Eukaryota; Viridiplantae; Streptophyta; Magnoliopsida; Brassicales; Brassicaceae
Description: long non-coding RNA (BRAP_LNC005493)
Source: RNAcentral